Molecule: ribosomal RNA, 470 nt
Filed under: bacterium enrichment culture clone ALO1_GLFRUDD03GTFFR
Lineage: Bacteria
Description: bacterial SSU rRNA
Rfam family: Bacterial small subunit ribosomal RNA
Source: RNAcentral
GAGUUUGAUCCUGGCUCAGAGCGAACGCUGGCGGCAUGCUUAACACAUGCAAGUCGCACGGUCAGCAAUGGCAGUGGCGGACGGGGUGAGUAACACGUAGGAAUCUAUCUCUGGGUGGGGGACAACAGUGGGAAACUACUGCUAAUACCGCAUGAUACCUGAGGGUCAAAGGCGUAAGUCGCCUGGAGAGGAGCCUGCGUCUGAUUAGCUUGUUGGUGGGGUAAAGGCCUACCAAGGCUACGAUCAGUAGCUGGUCUGAGAGGAUGAUCAGCCACAUUGGGACUGAGACACGGCCUAAACUCCUACGGGAGGCAGCAGUGGGGAAUAUUGGACAAUGGGCGAAAGCCUGAUCCAGCAAUGCCGCGUGUGUGAAGAAGGUCUUCGGAUUGUAAAGCACUUUUGGCAGGGACGAUGAUGACGGUACCUGCAGAAUAAGCCCCGGCUAACUUCGUGCCAGCAGCCGCGGUAAC